UAAUUUUUGGCCACUUUCUGGUCAGGGCCGACUGUUGCCUGAAGAAGGGUAA
This 52-nucleotide non-coding RNA is filed under the name unclassified sequences. RNAcentral describes it as "algC RNA". It matches the Rfam family "algC RNA". The record is from RNAcentral.